This is a small nuclear RNA of Gopherus evgoodei (Goodes thornscrub tortoise), 108 nucleotides long. NCBI's taxonomy places the organism in Eukaryota, Metazoa, Chordata, Testudines, Testudinidae. The record is from Ensembl.
UUGCUCCAGAAGCACAUGUGCUAAAACUGAAACAACACAGAAGAUUAUCAUGACCCUUGCACAAGGAUGAUAUAAAUUUGUGGAGCAGUUUAAAGAGAAAAUAUUAUU